CUCCCGGGAAGUCCUCGUG
This 19-nucleotide small nuclear RNA is filed under the name Arabidopsis thaliana (thale cress). RNAcentral's name for it is "snRNA_05374". Lineage: Eukaryota; Viridiplantae; Streptophyta; Magnoliopsida; Brassicales; Brassicaceae. The record is from RNAcentral.